RNAcentral lists this ribosomal RNA (505 nucleotides) under uncultured bacterium. RNAcentral's name for it is "bacterial SSU rRNA". It matches the Rfam family "Bacterial small subunit ribosomal RNA", at positions 107 to 607 of the family's 1533-position model. The record is from RNAcentral.
UGAGUAAUGUCUGGGAAACUGCCCGAUGGAGGGGGAUAACUACUGGAAACGGUAGCUAAUACCGCAUAACGUCUUCGGACCAAAGUGGGGGACCUUCGGGCCUCACACCAUCGGAUGUGCCCAGAUGGGAUUAGCUAGUAGGUGGGGUAAUGGCUCACCUAGGCGACGAUCCCUAGCUGGUCUGAGAGGAUGACCAGCCACACUGGAACUGAGACACGGUCCAGACUCCUACGGGAGGCAGCAGUGGGGAAUAUUGCACAAUGGGCGCAAGCCUGAUGCAGCCAUGCCGCGUGUAUGAAGAAGGCCUUCGGGUUGUAAAGUACUUUCAGUGGGGAGGAAGGCGUUAAGGUUAAUAACCUUGGCGAUUGACGUUACCCGCAGAAGAAGCACCGGCUAACUCCGUGCCAGCAGCUGGCGGUAAUACGGAGGGUGCAAGCGUUAAUCGGAAUUACUGGGCGUAAAGCGCACGCAGGCGGUCUGUCAAGUCGGAUGUGAAAUCCCCGGG